ACUCCUGCGGGAGGCAGCAGUGGGGAAUAUUGGACAAUGGGCGCAAGCCUGAUCCAGCCAUGCCGCGUGAGUGAUGAAGGCCCUAGGGUUGUAAAGCUCUUUCACCGGUGAAGAUAAUGACGGUAACCGGAGAAGAAGCCCCGGCUAACUUCGUGCCAGCAGCCGCGGUAAUACGAAGGGGGCUAGCGUUGUUCGGAUUUACUGGGCGUAAAGCGCACGUAGGCGGACUAUUAAGUCUGGGGUGAAAUCCCGGGGCUCAACCCCGGAACUGCCUUUGAUACUGGUAGUCUUGAGUUCGAGAGAGGUGAGUGGAAUUCCGAGUGUAGAGGUGAAAUUCGUAGAUAUUCGGAGGAACACCAGUGGCGAAGGCGGCUCACUGGCUCGAUACUGACGCUGAGGUGCGAAAGCGUGGGGAGCAAACAGGAUUAGAUACCCCGGAGUCCCAUG
This 447-nucleotide ribosomal RNA is filed under the name uncultured organism. RNAcentral describes it as "partial 16S ribosomal RNA". It matches the Rfam family "Bacterial small subunit ribosomal RNA", at positions 335 to 799 of the family's 1533-position model. The record is from RNAcentral.